This 433-nucleotide ribosomal RNA is filed under the name uncultured bacterium. Its description in RNAcentral is "partial 16S ribosomal RNA". It matches the Rfam family "Bacterial small subunit ribosomal RNA", at positions 29 to 507 of the family's 1533-position model. The record is from RNAcentral.
AACGAACGCUGGCGGCAGGCCUAACACAUGCAAGUCGAGCGAGAUCUUCGGGUCUAGCGGCGGACGGGUGAGUAACGCGUGGGAAUAUGCCUCUUGGUACGGAAUAGCCUCGGGAAACUGGGAGUAAUACCGUAUGUGCCCUUUGGGGGAAAGAUUUAUCGCCAAGAGAUUAGCCCGCGUUGGAUUAGGUAGUUGGUGGGGUAAUGGCCUACCAAGCCGACGAUCCAUAGCUGGUUUGAGAGGAUGAUCAGCCACACUGGGACUGAGACACGGCCCAGACUCCUACGGGAGGCAGCAGUGGGGAAUCUUAGAAAAUGGGGGCAACCCUGAUCUAGCCAUGCCGCGUGAGUGAUGAAGGCCUUAGGGUUGUAAAGCUCUUUCAGCUGGGAAGAUAAUGACGGUACCAGCAGAAGAAGCCCCGGCUAACUCCGUG